CCUCAUGCAGCCUGUGGGCCAUGGGUUGGACAAACUUACAUUAGAGUAAUUACUAUCUAUGGCAGUUAUAGUCUUAUGGAAUGUAUUUCUUAAUAAUGACUUCACAAUACGACACAGAAACACAAGACAUACUCCUUGAUCCAUGGGCUGUAGAAUGGAUGUUGUGUUAGCAGGCAUAGAAACAUUAAUCUCUUUGUACAUUUCCAUUAGAGCUCUUGGGCACUGUCAAUGUACAGUAAUGUUUUGAAAGGAAUCUCUUUUUCUGAACAGUGGGUCUCAACAGUGGGCUUAAGAUGUUCAGUAAACUAUGCUGUAAAGAGAUGUGGUGUCAUCCAGGCUUUGUUAUUCCAUUUGCAGAGCACAGGCAGGAUAGAUUUAGCAUAAUUCUUAAGAGUCCUAGGAUUUGGGGAAUGGUAAAUGAGCAUUUGCUUCCACUUCAAGUCACCAAUAGCAUUAAUCUCUAACAAAAGAGUCAACCUGUCCUUUGAAGAUUUGAAGCCAGGCAUUGACUUCUCCUCUCUAGCUAUAAAAAUACCGGAUGGCAUCUUCUUUCAGUGGAAGACUGGUUUGUCUACAUUGAAAAUCUAUUGUUUAAUGUAGCCACCUCUAUCAAUUAUCUUAGCUAGAUGUUCUGGAUAACUUGCUGCAACUUCUACAUCAGCAUUUACCACACUUCACCUUACACUUCUUUGUUAUGGAGAUGGCUUCUUUCCUUAACCCUCAUGAACCAGUCUCUGCUAGUUUCAAACUUUUCUCUCAUCCUUCAAGGAAUUGGAGAGAGUUAGGACCUUGCUUUGGAUUAGCCUUGGGCUUCAGGGAAUUUUGUGGUUGAUUUGAUCUUCUAUCCAGACCACUAAAACUUUUUCCAUAUCAAUAAUAAGGCUAUUUUCCUUUCUUAUCGUUCUUGUAUGCAUUAGAGUAACGCUUUUAAUUUCCUUCAAAAACUUUUCCUUUGCGUUCACAACUUGGCUGUUUUGCACCAGAGGCUUAGCUUUUGGCCUAUUCCAGCUUUUGACAUGCCUUCCUUGCUAAGCUUAAUCAUAUUUAGCUUUUGAUUGCAAGUGAGAGUCGUGUGACUCUGCUUCUCACUUAAACACUUAGAGGCCACUGUAGAGUUAUUAAUUGGCCUAAUUUCAAUAGGGUGUCUCAGGGAAUAGGGAGAUCCAAGGAGAGGUAGGGAGACAGGGGAAUGGCCAGUCGGUGAAGCAGUGAGAACACACACGUUUAUUAAGUUCAUCUUCUUAUUUGGUGUGGUUCAUGGCACCCCAAAACAUUUACAAUAGUAACAUCAAAGAUCGCUGAUGUCGGAUCACCAUAAUAGACAUAAUAAUGAAAAAGUUUGAAAUAUUGUAUAUUGUAUGAAUUACAAAAAUGUGACAGAGACAUGAAGUAAGCAUAUGCUAUUGGUGCCAAUAAUUUGUUCAAUGCAGGGUUGCCACAAACAUUCAACUUGUAAAAAACACAAUAUCUGCAUUAAGCUGAGUGCAAGAAAAUGAGGUAUGCCUUUAUUUAGUUCUUCUUCAACUUCUUUCAACAAUAUUUUAUAGUCCUCAGG
Molecule: long non-coding RNA, 1555 nt
Filed under: Homo sapiens (human)
Lineage: Eukaryota; Metazoa; Chordata; Mammalia; Primates; Hominidae
Description: HSALNT0111291
Source: RNAcentral